UUUUAGAUAAUGGAGGGAACUCUGAUCUAGCGACGCCGCGUGCAGGAAGAAGGUCUUCGGAUUGUAAACUGCUGUGGUAAGGGAAAAAUGCUAUGUAGAGUGGAAAGCUACAUAGAGGGAUGGUACCUUACUAGAAAGCCCCGGCUAACUACGUGCCAGCAGCCGCGGUAAUACGUAGGGGGCGAGCGUUACCCGGAAUCACUGGGCGUAAAGGGAGCGUAGGUGGCCUAACAUGUCAACUGUGAAAACCCGGAGCUCAACUCCGGACUUGCAGUUGAAACUGGUAGGCUUGAGGACGGUAGAGGAAGACGGAACUGCCAGUGUAGGGGUAAAAUCCUUAGAUAUUGGCAGGAACGCCGGUGACGAAGGUGGUUUUCUGGGCCGGUUCUGACACUGAUGCUCGAAAGCCAGGGGAGCGAACGGG
Molecule: ribosomal RNA, 424 nt
Filed under: uncultured bacterium
Lineage: Bacteria
Description: bacterial SSU rRNA
Rfam family: Bacterial small subunit ribosomal RNA
Source: RNAcentral